GAUGAAGAAGCAGCGAAAUGCGAUAAGUAAUGUGAAUUGCAGAAUUCAGUGAAUCAUCGAAUCUUUGAACGCACAUUGCGCCCGCCAGUAUUCUGGCGGGCAUGCCUGUUCGAGCGUCAUUUCAACCAUCAAGCCCCCGGCUUGUGUUGGGGACCUGCGGCUGCCGCAGGCCCUUAAAAGCAGUGGCGGGCUCGCUGUCACACCGAGCGUAGUAGCAUACAUCUCGCUCUGGGCGUGCUGCGGGUUCCGGCCGUUAAACCACCUUCAUAACCCAAGGUUGACCUCGGAUCAGGUAGGAAGACCCGCUGAACUUAAGCAUAUCAAUAAGCGGAGGA
Molecule: unclassified non-coding RNA, 335 nt
Filed under: soil metagenome
Description: partial contains 5.8S ribosomal RNA, internal transcribed spacer 2, and large subunit ribosomal RNA
Rfam family: 5.8S ribosomal RNA (bases 1-119)
Source: RNAcentral